GGCAAGUGUUGUUACAAUCGGAGGAAGAACUCUUGAGGAAAAGGUCCUUGGAACUCGUCAGUGAGGGAGCCUCGAUGAAGCCAAAGAAAACUCUUGGCAAGCUGAAAGUACAAGUGCGAAAAGUGAAAAUGGCAUUGGACCCACCCACAGGAUGCAGCUUUUCCACUCUGAAACCACCAAAAGUAAAACUGGAGGCUAUACGUGCUCAGUUGUCCAAUGUAAAAUCGACCAUCAGUUCUGAAUGGGGAGCCAUACGAAAAGUACGUGUGGCUCCAAGGGUUCCACCAAAUGGUUCUUUAUCACAUCAAAGCUUGGCAUACCUUCAUGCCGGUACUCGUUAUGUGAAAGACGUUUCUGGGAUUUUGAAACUUGGUGUAACUAGUUUACGAAGCAGUUCAGCGUCGUAUGAAGUAGUUCCAGAGACAUACUUUUGUUCGUUGAGAUUGAAAAGUUUACCUGAAGAGGAUACAGUGAAAAUGCUAGCUGGAUCCGCUGAAACACAUCUAUUCUUACCGGAGGGGCUGGGGGAUGACUUAAUUGUUGAUGUACGUGACUCAAAGGGAAACUACUGCGGCCGUGCAGUAGCUCAGGUUGCUGAUAUUGCUGAUGAUCCGGGGGACAAACUCCGUUGGUGGUCCAUAUAUCAUGAGCCAGAGCAUGAACUUGUUGGAAGAGUACAACUAUAUAUAAAUUAUUCAACUAGUCCUGAUGAAAAUAGCAACACUAAGUGUGGUCCUGUCGCAGAAACCGUUGCAUAUGAUUCUGUUUUGGAAGCAGCAAUGAAAGUUCAACAGUUUCAGCAGAGAAAUUUGGUGCUCCAUGGUCCUUGGAGAUGGUUAGUAACUAAAUUUGCAUCAUACUAUGGAGUCUCGGAUGCAUAUACAAAACUAAGAUAUCUUACUUAUGUCAUGGAUGUUGCAACGCCCACAGCAGACUGUCUGAAUUUGGUAUAUGAAUUGCUGCUACCCGUGGUCUCUAAACCUAAGAAUAGCCUUAGUCAUCAAGAGAAUCGUAUUCUAGGAGAAGUUUCUGAAAAGAUCGAGCUGAUUGUUGCUCUAGUUUUUGAGAACUACAAGUCUUUAGACGAAUCAUUACCAUCAGGGAUGGAAGAUGUGUUCAAACCUGCUACUGGAGUUGCUGCUCCUGCACUGUCUCCUGCUUUGAAGCUGUAUAGUCUUCUUAAUGAUAUUCUUUCUCCAGAGGCCCAGUUGAAACUAUGCAGAUAUUUUCAGACUGCUGCGAAGAAAAGAUCCAGAAGACACUUGGCGGAAACAGAUGAAUUUGU
This 1285-nucleotide unclassified non-coding RNA is filed under the name Hevea brasiliensis (rubber tree). The record is from RNAcentral. Lineage: Eukaryota; Viridiplantae; Streptophyta; Magnoliopsida; Malpighiales; Euphorbiaceae.